This 301-nucleotide ribosomal RNA is filed under the name uncultured bacterium. RNAcentral's name for it is "partial 16S ribosomal RNA". It matches the Rfam family "Bacterial small subunit ribosomal RNA", at positions 509 to 807 of the family's 1533-position model. The record is from RNAcentral.
CAGCAGCCGCGGUAAUACAGAGGGUGCAAGCGUUAAUCGGAAUUACUGGGCGUAAAGGGCGCGUAGGUGGUUGUGUAAGUGAGAUGUGAAAUCCCCGGGCUCAACCUGGGAACUGCGUCUUAUACUGCAUAGCUUGAGUACGAUAGAGGGUAGUGGAAUUUCCGGUGUAGCGGUGAAAUGCGUAGAUAUCGGAAGGAACACCAGUGGCGAAGGCGGCUACCUGGAUUGAUACUGACACUGAGGCGCGAGAGCGUGGGGAGCAAACAGGAUUAGAUACCCCUGUAGUCCCUGUCUCUUAUAC